AUAAGAUGUAAGGAUAUAUUCUCAAAGUUAUUUCUAGUUUUAACGAUGUACUUUUACAAAUUAAAUUGCAGAAGCAAUAGGGAAACAUUCUUGUGCACAAAAAAUAGACCCCCCCAUAAAACAAUUGCUUAGAAUUUGCUGCAAAACAAACAGAUGAGAAUACACAUUAGAAUAGUAUAUAUAGCAGGUCAAUUUAACAAGUCUUGAAUUGAAAGUUUGUCUAUUAUGAUAUUGAAAGCAGCAUAUAUGAGUGUUAGUGUCUGAGUGCCUUUUAAGAGCACAAGUACCUAAGAGUGCUUGCAAAAGGAUGAAUAGCAGAAGAAUAUUUCCUUUUUGCAGCCUUUUUCUUUUCAGCCGUAACAUCCAUGCGUAGUUUCCCCUUUAUAUACUGGUAGCUAACUUUCAUUCUUUUAUCUAGUUAGUCAUAUACUAAGUAGUAUUUAAGAUGAUGGUUUGGCGAUCGAACAAAUAAGAGAUGAAACAGAGUUCCGUCCAGCCAAUAACUUCACUUAAUCAAUUGUUCUGUCUUAUCUUCAAUCUUGUAAAUUCUUCAUAUCCGAAGCGCAGGAAGGAUCUGACUAGAAAGUCGUCUUGCUGAUGCGAUAGUCCUCUGGGUAUGGCCACAUCCGUCUCGACAAUAGGACAGGGAAAGAAAAUCCAUAGACGAGACCAACCGGGAUAAGUGUGGAAAUCGAUAGUGUACUCGAUGAUCAAAGGACCUAUCAAUUUGCAUUAACUUCCUGUAGCUAGUAGGGGGAACUUUAAUGUAAUUGCGGAUCCAUUAAAAAAAACUUGG
This 796-nucleotide long non-coding RNA is filed under the name Nicotiana tabacum (common tobacco). RNAcentral's name for it is "long non-coding RNA (NTAB_LNC000989)". Lineage: Eukaryota; Viridiplantae; Streptophyta; Magnoliopsida; Solanales; Solanaceae. The record is from RNAcentral.